UUCUGCAGGCUUCCAAGAUGGCUGUCUGGUAGCAUUGAUACUUGCUUUAUGCCGAAAUCCUGUAGGCUCAGGCUGCUCAUUGAGCUGUUUGCUUAGGAGAGAGAAGUGUUUUGAAACUGUGGCUUUUGAGAGGAAGAAUCAAGGCAUUUUGAGAAAGGUGCACGUAUGCUAAUGAUGAAUUUAACAGUGUAUGGGAACUUCUGAAUCAUGGCCUGAACCUGUGACCAUCAGAGGAGAGCGAGGAGACAGCCCUGG
Tympanuchus pallidicinctus (lesser prairie-chicken) is the source of this 255-nucleotide long non-coding RNA. RefSeq lists it as uncharacterized. The record is from RefSeq and is a predicted model, not a curated record. Lineage: Eukaryota; Metazoa; Chordata; Aves; Galliformes; Phasianidae. The transcript has 3 exons.